ACUUAUUUCCCCUUUUCUGAUCGCUUCCCAGAUCCCGAUGCUCUUCGAGGCGCAAUGGAGCUGCAACGGCAAUGGUGUUGCAGAUCUGUAGGGUUUGCUGUGGCCAUUCCGAUGGAAGGGAAGAUGUAGAUGGUCCGGAGAUUGGCAACUGGUUUAAUCGCUUCUAUUUCCCUCCUUCCGCCGAUUGGGAUUUGAAUAGACUUAUUUCCCGCUUCCUAAAUCCCGAUGCUCUUCAAGGCGCAACGGAGCAACAGCGACGAAGGUGUUGCAGAUCCAUAGGGUUUUUUGUGGCCAUUCCGAUGGAAGGGAAGAUGUAGAUGGUCCUGAGAUCGACAACUGAUUUAAUCAAAAUGGCAAUCAAAAUUGAGGAUCUUAGAGAUCAAACAUGCUUGAUCUUGUUGGAAUGUGGUUAUUCUAUCAAGACGAGGAAGAUCGGUAACAGAUCUAAUAAUGACUAGCG
Zingiber officinale is the source of this 460-nucleotide long non-coding RNA. RefSeq lists it as uncharacterized. The transcript has 3 exons. The record is from RefSeq and is a predicted model, not a curated record. NCBI's taxonomy places the organism in Eukaryota, Viridiplantae, Streptophyta, Magnoliopsida, Zingiberales, Zingiberaceae.